RNAcentral lists this ribosomal RNA (474 nucleotides) under uncultured bacterium. RNAcentral's name for it is "bacterial SSU rRNA". It matches the Rfam family "Bacterial small subunit ribosomal RNA", at positions 28 to 513 of the family's 1533-position model. The record is from RNAcentral.
GAUGAACGCUAGCGGCAGGCUUAAUACAUGCAAGUCAAGGGGGUAGCAAUACAACCGGCGCACGGGUGAGUAACGCGUACACAACAUACCAUAUACUGGAGUAUAGCUUUGGGAAACUGAAGGUAAUCCUCCAUAACAUUGCGAGAGGGCAUCUGAUUGCAAUUAAAGUUUCGGCGGUAUAUGAUUGGUGUGCGUUUGAUUAGCUAGUUGGUAGGGUAACGGCCUACCAAGGCGACGAUCAAUAGCUGGCGUGAGAGCGCGACCAGCCACACUGGAACUGAGACACGGUCCAGACUCCUACGGGAGGCAGCAGUAGGGAAUAUUGGACAAUGGAGGAAACUCUGAUCCAGCCAUGCCGCGUGAUAGAUGAAGGCCCUCUGGGUUGUAAAUAUCUUUUAUCUGGGAAGAAACACUCCUAUUCUUAGGAACUUGACGGUACCAGAGGAAUAAGCACCGGCUAACUCCGUGCCAGCA